Unclassified non-coding RNA from Oncorhynchus mykiss (rainbow trout), 299 nucleotides. It matches the Rfam family "Metazoan signal recognition particle RNA". Rfam says of the family: The signal recognition particle (SRP) is a universally conserved ribonucleoprotein. It is involved in the co-translational targeting of proteins to membranes. The eukaryotic SRP consists of a 300-nucleotide 7S RNA and six proteins: SRPs 72, 68, 54, 19, 14, and 9. The record is from Ensembl. Lineage: Eukaryota; Metazoa; Chordata; Actinopteri; Salmoniformes; Salmonidae.
GCCGGGUGCAGUGGCAUGUGCCUGUAAUCCAAGUCACUGGGAGGCUGAGGUUGGUGGAUCAAGUGAGCUGAGGAGCUCUGGGCUGCAGCACGCUAUGUCGAACGGGUGUCCACGCUUAGUUCGGUAUCGAUAUGGUGUUCCUAGGGGAGCCUGGGACCACCAGGUUGUCUAAGGAGGGGUGAACCGGCCCAGGUCGGAAACGAAGCAGGUCAAAUCCCCCGUGCUGUCCAGUGGUGGGAUAAUACCUGUGAGUAGAUGCUGCAGUGCAGCCUUGGCAAAACAUCGAGACCUAAUCUUUU